Molecule: non-coding RNA, 45 nt
Filed under: Trichobilharzia regenti
Lineage: Eukaryota; Metazoa; Platyhelminthes; Trematoda; Strigeidida; Schistosomatidae
Source: RNAcentral
AUUCAGAUGAUGAGUCUCACGCGAGACGAAAUGCGCAUCCUGGAU